AGGACGAACGCUGGCGGCGUGCCUAAAACAUGCAAGUCGAACGAGGUAGCAAUACCUAGUGGCGAACGGCGGAGUAAUACAUAAACAACGUGCCCCGAAGACUGGGAUAUACAGCUGAAAAGCUGGGCAAUACCGGAUGUGGCAGCGUCUCGGCAUCGAGAUGCUAUCAAAUGGUUUUUCGCUUUGGGAGCGGUUUAUGGCCUAUCAGGUAGUUGGUGGGGUAAUGGCCUACCAAGCCGACGACGGGUAGCGGGUCUGAGAGGAUGAUCCGCUCGAGUGGGACUGAGACACGGCCCACACACCUACGGGUGGCAGCAGUUGGGAAUCUUGCACAAUGGGGGAAACCCUGAUGCAGCGACGCCGCGUGGAGGAUGACGGAUCUAGGUCUGUAAACUCCUUUUCAUGGAAAGACUUAGGACGGUACCAUGAGAAUAAGGACCGGCUAACUACGCGCCAGCAGCCGC
This 464-nucleotide ribosomal RNA is filed under the name uncultured bacterium. Its description in RNAcentral is "SSU rRNA". It matches the Rfam family "Bacterial small subunit ribosomal RNA", at positions 26 to 518 of the family's 1533-position model. The record is from RNAcentral.